This 1217-nucleotide ribosomal RNA is filed under the name uncultured Rhizaria. RNAcentral's name for it is "SSU rRNA". It matches the Rfam family "Eukaryotic small subunit ribosomal RNA", at positions 577 to 1804 of the family's 1831-position model. The record is from RNAcentral.
CGGUAAUUCCAGCUCCAAUAGCGUAUACUAAAGUUGUUGCAGUUAAAAAGCUCGUAGUUGGAUUUCUGCGGGGACGGAGCGGCCGGUCGCAACUUGCGACUCGAGCUAGCGCUUUCCCCGCAUCCUGCCGCGAACCGUGCUACCAUUAGCUUGGUGGCGCUGGGGAUCGGCUCGAUUACUUUGAGAAAAAUAGAGUGUUCAAAGCAGGCCACACGCCUUGAAUAAGUUAGCAUGGAAUAAUGACUAAGGACUUUGGUUCUUUUCGUUGGUGUUCGGGACUGAAGUAAUGAUUGAUAGGGACAGUUGGGGCGGUCCGUAUUCCAAAGCGAGAGGUGAAAUUCUUAGACCUUCGGAAGACGAACAGCUGCGAAAGCGUUCCGCAAGGAUGUUCCCUUUGAUCAAGAACGAAAGUUGGGGGAUCGAAGACGAUCAGAUACCGUCGUAGUCUCAACUAUAAACUAUACCAGCUAGGGAUCGGCCAACGUUUAAUUUAUCGACUUGGUCGGCACCUUAUGAGAAAUCAAAGCAUCUGGGUUCCGGGGGGAGUAUGGUCGCAAGGCUGAAACUUAAAGGAAUUGACGGAAGGGCACCACCAGCCGUGGAGCCUGUGGCUUAAUUUGACUCAACACGGGAAAACUUACCAGGUCCAGACAUAGGAAGGAUUGACAGAUUGAUAGCUCUUUCUUGAUUCUGUGGGUGGUGGUGCAUGGCCGUUUUUAGUCGGUGGAUGUGAUCUGUCUGCUUAAUUGCGUUAACGGACGAGACCCCAGCCUGCUAAAUAGCGCGGCCGAGCUUUGCUCGGUGCGAGCUUCUUAGGGGGACCAUGAUGCGCGAUAGCACAAGGAAGUUUGGGGCAACAACAGGUCUGUGAUGCCCUUAGAUGUUCUGGGCCGCACACGGGCUACACUGGCGCCUGCAACGAGCAUAUCAGCUGGCCCGAGAGGGUCUUGGCUAAUCUUUGGAACCGGCGCCGUGCUUGGGAUUGACCAUUGCAAUUGUUGGUCAUGCAACGAGGAAUGCCUUGUAAACGCGAGUCAUCAGCUCGCAUUGAAUACGUCCCUGCCCUUUGUACACACCGCCCGUCGCUCCUACCGAUGAAUGUUCCGAUGAAAUUUUCGGAGAGCACCAGAGAACGGGGCUCUGCCUUGCAGAUCUGGAGGCUCAAAGUCACUUAAAUCUGAACAUUUCGAGGAAGGAGAAGUCGUAACAAGGUAACC